Molecule: long non-coding RNA, 328 nt
Organism: Daphnia pulicaria
Lineage: Eukaryota; Metazoa; Arthropoda; Branchiopoda; Diplostraca; Daphniidae
Exons: 3
Source: RefSeq, a predicted model, not a curated record
UUGUAGGAAUUCUUCCUCUAAUGAAAAGGCAGCGCCUGUCGAACUCGGCGUCCAACAAAUCAAAAUCAACAGCAAAACAACUUGGUUUGAUCCAAGGUCGGCAUUGAUGGGAAUUUAUUACAUCCACUUCCCCAUUCAAGGACGCAAGAGUGACACCAACCAAUUUAGUUUGAAUAAUUUUAUUCAUUUUUCAAGUGAUACUACGUUCAAACUGGGAGGGACUUGAGGCCGUGAUGCACGACAAUGUUUUCUCCUUCCAGCACUGGGUGAAUUUAUUGCGCAUGUGGUUAGAAGAGUAAAAAGAGAGAAACCUUUAUUUUUAGGUCAA